CGGGGCGUGGCUCAGUUUGGCUAGAGCGCCUGCUUUGGGAGCAGGAGGUCGACAGUUCAAAUCUGUCCGCCCCGA
Molecule: transfer RNA, 75 nt
Filed under: Candidatus Omnitrophota bacterium
Lineage: Bacteria; Pseudomonadati; Candidatus Omnitrophota
Description: tRNA-Pro
Rfam family: tRNA
About the family: Transfer RNA (tRNA) molecules are approximately 80 nucleotides in length.
Source: RNAcentral